Molecule: non-coding RNA, 189 nt
Filed under: Roseovarius atlanticus
Lineage: Bacteria; Pseudomonadati; Pseudomonadota; Alphaproteobacteria; Rhodobacterales; Roseobacteraceae
Source: RNAcentral
CACAGUGAGACUCCCGAAGGUGCCGCGCAGGUCGCGGAGAAUUGGGAAGCCGGUGCAAGUCCGGCGCUGCCCCCGCAACGGUAAGGAUGGGGGAUACCGCAGAUGGCCACUGGGGCGCGUUGCCCCGGGAAGGCGCGCGUAUCCGCACCCCCGCCAAGCCCGGAAACCAGCCUUUGGGACAAACGUCGA